RNAcentral lists this ribosomal RNA (1070 nucleotides) under Escherichia coli. RNAcentral describes it as "partial 23S ribosomal RNA". It matches the Rfam family "Bacterial large subunit ribosomal RNA", at positions 165 to 1271 of the family's 2925-position model. Lineage: Bacteria; Pseudomonadati; Pseudomonadota; Gammaproteobacteria; Enterobacterales; Enterobacteriaceae. The record is from RNAcentral.
CAUAGGUUAAUGAGGCGAACCGGGGGAACUGAAACAUCUAAGUACCCCGAGGAAAAGAAAUCAACCGAGAUUCCCCCAGUAGCGGCGAGCGAACGGGGAGCAGCCCAGAGCCUGAAUCAGUGUGUGUGUUAGUGGAAGCGUCUGGAAAGGCGCGCGAUACAGGGUGACAGCCCCGUACACAAAAAUGCACAUACUGUGAGCUCGAUGAGUAGGGCGGGACACGUGGUAUCCUGUCUGAAUAUGGGGGGACCAUCCUCCAAGGCUAAAUACUCCUGACUGACCGAUAGUGAACCAGUACCGUGAGGGAAAGGCGAAAAGAACCCCGGCGAGGGGAGUGAAAAAGAACCUGAAACCGUGUACGUACAAGCAGUGGGAGCACAGAGCAAUCUGUGUGACUGCGUACCUUUUGUAUAAUGGGUCAGCGACUUAUAUUCUGUAGCAAGGUUAACCGAAUAGGGGAGCCGAAGGGAAACCGAGUCUUAACUGGGCGUUAAGUUGCAGGGUAUAGACCCGAAACCCGGUGAUCUAGCCAUGGGCAGGUUGAAGGUUGGGUAACACUAACUGGAGGACCGAACCGACUAAUGUUGAAAAAUUAGCGGAUGACUUGUGGCUGGGGGUGAAAGGCCAAUCAAACCGGGAGAUAGCUGGUUCUCCCCGAAAGCUAUUUAGGUAGCGCCUCGUGAAUUCAUCUCCGGGGGUAGAGCACUGUUUCGGCAAGGGGGUCAUCCCGACUUACCAACCCGAUGCAAACUGCGAAUACCGGAGAAUGUUAUCACGGGAGACACACGGCGGGUGCUAACGUCCGUCGUGAAGAGGGAAACAACCCAGACCGCCAGCUAAGGUCCCAAAGUCAUGGUUAAGUGGGAAACGAUGUGGGAAGGCCCAGACAGCCAGGAUGUUGGCUUAGAAGCAGCCAUCAUUUAAAGAAAGCGUAAUAGCUCACUGGUCGAGUCGGCCUGCGCGGAAGAUGUAACGGGGCUAAACCAUGCACCGAAGCUGCGGCAGCGACGCUUAUGCGUUGUUGGGUAGGGGAGCGUUCUGUAAGCCUGCGAAGGUGUGCUGUGAGGCAU